AAUAAAACCUACGAUGAUGACAGAACCUGCUCCCCAGUGGUUGUGGUCGGGAUUUAACGAGCUGAGCGUGGAGCGCCUGGGACACAGCUGUCAGCCAGCACAGGUCCUUUCGCAUCCUUUCCCCCCAGGUGGUCCUCCCCAUGACCCAGUGAGGCAAGCAAGAAGGGGAGUUGCACCCCCAUUUCGCAGACAAGUUGCCCAGGGCACAGUGAGAGGGUGUGAUUUUGGCAUAAGUGGCAGAGCAAGGAUGGAACCCCACACCUUCUCACGGUCCCUCAAGAGGCAGCCUUGUGGGCAAAGGGCAUCUCAGAAACACUGCCACCCGCCUGUGAGGUCCAGGGGAGAAGGAUUCCAGGUGUCUCCACAUCUGACAGGUGAGCCAAUGAGAGGUGGACAUAGAAGGGGAAGCUGGUGUCAUCACUCACUCAGCAUCACGUUUCCUGAGCACCUGCUGUGUGCCAGGCGCUGUUCUGUUUGCUGGGCAUACGGCGCUGAACAAAAAGCAAAGGUCCUGACCGUCAGGGAGCUGACCUUUCCAAUGGGGAAGCUGACUUGGAUUUGAUUGCAAAUGUGGUUUGAAGCUGGGAGGGCCAGUCUGAUUGCCAGCUCAGCUAGGCGACUGUCUGUCGGUCAUCCAAACGCUAAGCUCGGUGUUGCUGCAAAGGUGUUUUGUAGAUGUGAUGGAAGUCCGUGAUCAGUGGCUUUGAA
Pipistrellus kuhlii (Kuhl's pipistrelle) is the source of this 708-nucleotide long non-coding RNA. RefSeq lists it as uncharacterized. The record is from RefSeq and is a predicted model, not a curated record. The transcript has 2 exons. Lineage: Eukaryota; Metazoa; Chordata; Mammalia; Chiroptera; Vespertilionidae.